This 199-nucleotide non-coding RNA is filed under the name Paenibacillus vortex V453. RNAcentral's name for it is "glmS". It matches the Rfam family "glmS glucosamine-6-phosphate activated ribozyme aptamer". From Rfam's summary of the family: This entry contains a glucosamine-6-phosphate activated ribozyme that is found in the mRNA for GlmS. Lineage: Bacteria; Bacillati; Bacillota; Bacilli; Caryophanales; Paenibacillaceae. The record is from RNAcentral.
AUAAGCUUCAUAAGCGCCAGAGCUUGUACCUGCGCGGGGAUUGGUUAUUGCUUGAUGGAAUGACCAAACGGCAGAACGCAAGUUGACGAGGUAGAGGUGUUCGGAUUAUUCGGCGGGGACCUCUCGGUGAUGCACCAACCGUAAGCGGAUCACGGAAAAGGAAUGGGCGACCGUUCUGACAACGUAUUUGCAGGUGCUG